UACGUAGGGUCCGAGCGUUGUCCGGAAUUAUUGGGCGUAAAGAGCUCGUAGGCGGCUUGUCACGUCGAUUGUGAAAGCCCGAGGCUUAACCUCGGGUCUGCAGUCGAUACGGGCUAGCUAGAGUGUGGUAGGGGAGAUCGGAAUUCCUGGUGUAGCGGUGAAAUGCGCAGAUAUCAGGAGGAACACCGGUGGCGAAGGCGGAUCUCUGGGCCAUUACUGACGCUGAGGAGCGAAAGCGUGGGGAGCGAACAGG
This 253-nucleotide ribosomal RNA is filed under the name uncultured bacterium. Its description in RNAcentral is "partial 16S ribosomal RNA". It matches the Rfam family "Bacterial small subunit ribosomal RNA", at positions 524 to 776 of the family's 1533-position model. The record is from RNAcentral.